GACGAACGCUGGCGGCAUGCCUAACACAUGCAAGUCUAGGGGUAGCAAUACCACUGGCGCACGGGUGAGUAACACGUAAGUUAUCUGCCCCCAUCACAGACAUAACCCCGGGAAACCGGGGCUAAUAUCUGAUGAGGUCGCGAGAUCAAAGCUUCGGCGGAUGGGGAUGAGCCUGCGGCUGAUUAGCUAGUUGGUGAGGUAAUGGCUCACCAAGGCGACGAUCAGUAGCUGGUCUGAGAGGACGAACAGCCACACUGGAACUGAGACACGGUCCAGACUCCUACGGGAGGCAGCAGUGAGGAAUAUUGGUCAAUGGGAGCAAUCCUGAACCAGCAAUGCCGCGUGUGGGAUGACAGGGCUUCGCCUUGUAAACCACUGUCGGACGGGACGAAAGGAGGCCUCGGGCCUCUGGGACGGUACCGUCAAAGGAAGGGUCGGCUAACUACGUG
Molecule: ribosomal RNA, 449 nt
Filed under: uncultured bacterium
Lineage: Bacteria
Description: bacterial SSU rRNA
Rfam family: Bacterial small subunit ribosomal RNA
Source: RNAcentral